UGGGGAAUUUUGGACAAUGGGCGAAAGCCUGAUCCAGCAAUGCCGCGUGUGUGAAGAAGGCCUUCGGGUUGUAAAGCACUUUUGUCCGGAAAGAAAUCCUUGGCUCUAAUACAGUCGGGGGAUGACGGUACCGGAAGAAUAAGCACCGGCUAACUACGUGCCAGCAGCCGCGGUAAUACGUAGGGUGCAAGCGUUAAUCGGAAUUACUGGGCGUAAAGCGUGCGCAGGCGGUUUGCUAAGACCGAUGUGAAAUCCCCGGGCUCAACCUGGGAACUGCAUUGGUGACUGGCAGGCUAGAGUAUGGCAGAGGGGGGUAGAAUUCCACGUGUAGCAGUGAAAUGCGUAGAGAUGUGGAGGAAUACCGAUGGCGAAGGCAGCCCCCUGGGCCAAUACUGACGCUCAUGCACGAAAGCGUGGGGAGCAAACAGGAUUAGAUACCCUGGUAGUCCACGCCCUAAACGAUGUCAACUAGUUGUUGGGGAUUCAUUUCCUUAGUAACGUAGCUAACGCGUGAAGUUGACCGCCUGGGGAGUACGGUCGCAAGAUUAAAACUUCAAAUGGAAUUGAC
RNAcentral lists this ribosomal RNA (568 nucleotides) under uncultured bacterium. RNAcentral's name for it is "partial 16S ribosomal RNA". It matches the Rfam family "Bacterial small subunit ribosomal RNA", at positions 355 to 914 of the family's 1533-position model. The record is from RNAcentral.